UACGAAGGUCCCGAGCGUUAUCCGGAUUUAUUGGGUUUAAAGGGUGCGUAGGCGGCUUAAUAAGUCAUUGGUGAAAGCUCGCAGCUCAACUGCGAAACUGCCAUUGAAACUGUUUAGCUUGAAUGUGGUUGAAGUGGGCGGAAUACAACAUGUAGCGGUGAAAUGCUUAGAUAUGUUUUAGAACACCGAUUGCGAAGGCAGCUCACUAAGCCAAUAUUGACGCUGAGGCACGAAAGCGUGGGUAGCAAACAGG
Molecule: ribosomal RNA, 253 nt
Filed under: uncultured bacterium
Lineage: Bacteria
Description: partial 16S ribosomal RNA
Rfam family: Bacterial small subunit ribosomal RNA
Source: RNAcentral